CAUAUACUUCAUAUUAACUCUAGUGAUGAUUGGGCUAACCUAUGUGUUUUUUGUUCUGCUCUUGAUGGGUAGUCUGUAUCGCCAUUUGUUUGUUGCCAUAUUGUUUAGCUGUAUGUCCAGGAUUUGGGCAAAUAUCCUUAGAGGAACCACUUUUGUUCUAAGUUCCUAAUUGUUUUCGGAUUUGAUCAUUUUUAGCCUUACAGUAUUUUUUCAGUAUAUCAGUUUUGCUAAUUU
This is a non-coding RNA of Pelobates cultripes (western spadefoot toad), 234 nucleotides long. Lineage: Eukaryota; Metazoa; Chordata; Amphibia; Anura; Pelobatidae. The record is from the annotation of a GenBank genome assembly.